RNAcentral lists this ribosomal RNA (1023 nucleotides) under Liposcelis entomophila. Its description in RNAcentral is "SSU rRNA". It matches the Rfam family "Eukaryotic small subunit ribosomal RNA", at positions 395 to 1343 of the family's 1831-position model. Lineage: Eukaryota; Metazoa; Arthropoda; Insecta; Psocodea; Liposcelididae. The record is from RNAcentral.
CCUGAGAAACGGCUACCACAUCCAAGGAAGGCAGCAGGCGCGCAAAUUACCCACUCCCUGAACGGGGAGGUAGUGACGAUAAAUAACGAUGCAGAACUCUUUCCGAGGCUCUGCAAUCGGAAUGGGUAUACUCUAAACACUUGUACGAGUAUCCACUGGAGGGCAAGUCUGGUGCCAGCAGCCGCGGUAAUUCCAGCUCCAGUAGCGUAUAUUAAAGUUGUUGCGGUUAAAAAGCUCGUAGUUGGAUCUGUGUUUCGAGCCGUCGGUUCGCCGCCCGUCGGCGUUUAACUGACGCGUCUUCGAGACGUCCUGCCGGUUGGCGGUCGGUCGCGCGUCUUUUCUUCGGAAUCGGCGGACUUGCGACGCGCCAGUGCUUACACCCGCUCCCGAUGUUCUUUAUUGAGCGUCGAGACGGGCCGGCACGUUUACUUUGAAUCAAACUGGGUGCUCAAGGCAGGCAAAUUUUACCGCUUGAAAGAACUUGCAUGGAAUAAUGGAAUAGGACCUCGGUUCUAUUUUGUUGGUUUCCGGAUCCCCGAGGUAAUGAUAAAUAGGGACUGACGGGGGCAUUAGUAUUGCGGCGUUAGAGGUGAAAUUCUUGGAUCGUCGCAAGACUACCUAAAGCGAAAGCAUUUGCCAAGGAUGUUUUCAUUAAUCAAGAACGAAAGUUAGAGGUUCGAGGGCGAUCAGAUACCGCCCUAGUUCUAACCAUAAACGAUGCCAGCCAGCGAUCCGCGGUGGUUCGUUUGUAAUGACCCCGCGGGCAGCUUCCGGGAAACCAAAGCUUUUGGGUUCCGGGGGUAGUAUGGUUGCAAAGCUGAAACUUAAAGGAAUUGACGGAAGGGCACCACCAGGAGUGGAGCUUGCGGCUUAAUUUGACUCAACACGGGAAACCUCACCAGGCCCAGACACUGAAAGGAUUGACAGAUUGAUAGCUCUUUCUUGAUUCAGUGGGUGUGGUGCAUGGCCGUUCUUAGUUGGUGGAGCGAUUUGUCUGGUUAAUUCCGAUAACGAACGAGACUC